Gambusia affinis (western mosquitofish) is the source of this 312-nucleotide long non-coding RNA. RefSeq lists it as uncharacterized. The transcript has 4 exons. The record is from RefSeq and is a predicted model, not a curated record. NCBI's taxonomy places the organism in Eukaryota, Metazoa, Chordata, Actinopteri, Cyprinodontiformes, Poeciliidae.
GAACUCUUUCCCCAUGACAACAAAAUAACUUCGAGCAGAAACGACUGACAACUUAAACCUCGGAGGACUCUGCAGGACGUUUCGUCCAUAAUUCAAACAUUAGUUUAUGUUUUACUGGUGGACCUGGACAUGUGGAACUCCAGAUCUGACUUUACAGCCCGGUCUUCCUCAUGGUGUGGGUCAGGGUUUUCGUCAAGAGACAGUUCUAGUGCUGGUGCCUUCAGAAGGAGCGAUCCGGGUCUAAGGAGGUGGCGGUCAAUGUACCAUCUGGAGCCUGAGAGUCCUACAAGGUCGUUUUCACCAUUUGGAGCA